UAAAAAUUUUUAUUUAUAUUAAUUUUCUCGAAGUUAGAAGAGCGAGCUUAUGUAUUUAUAUUAUUGUGGAAUAAAUAUUUAAAAUAUUAGGCUAGUAAUGAAAUGUUAUUCGUUUCUAAAUAUAUCUAGUUUUUUUAGAAAUGAAUUUAAUUCUGAAUUAAUUUUAAAUAAUUUGUUUAUUUUUUAAGCAGGUUGUUUGGUUAGUUUAAUGUCUUGAGGGAUGAGCUUUUAGACAAAUUUUUAUAAAUUAGGAAAGUAUUUAAGAUGAGUAGGAUUGGAAGUUUUUAUUUUUAAAAGGAUGUUAUGUUUGAUCUUAUUAAUAAUAUUAUUUAUAUUGGUUUUAAAUUUUUUAUAAAAAUUUUAAUUUUAAUUUUUUAUGUUAAGUAAUUAUGAUAGAAUUAGUAUAUUUGUUUGUUUUUUUUUAGCUUAUCUUUUAGGUUAGUAGAAGGAAUUCGGCAAAAAAAUUUUCACCUGUUUAUUAAAAACAUGGCCUUUUGAUUAUUAUUUAAGGUCUAGCCUGCCCACUGAUUAGUUUAACGGCCGCGGUACCCU
This 552-nucleotide ribosomal RNA is filed under the name Ctenoscelis ater. Its description in RNAcentral is "partial 16S ribosomal RNA". Lineage: Eukaryota; Metazoa; Arthropoda; Insecta; Coleoptera; Cerambycidae. The record is from RNAcentral.